AGCAGCCGCGGUAAUACGGAGGGUGCGAGCGUUAAUCGGAAUUACUGGGCGUAAAGGGUGCGUAGGUGGUUUAUUAAGUUAUCUGUGAAAUCCCUGGGCUCAACCUGGGAAGGUCAGAUAAGACUGUUUGACUCGAGUAUGGGAGAGGGUAGUGGAAUUUCCGGUGUAGCGGUGAAAUGCGUAGAGAUCGGAAGGAACACCAGUGGCGAAGGCGGCUACCUGGCCUAAUACUGACACUGAAGCACGAAAGCGUGGGGAGCAAACAGGAUUAGAUACCCUGGUAGUCCACGCCGUAAACGAUGUCAACUAGCUGUUGGAA
Molecule: ribosomal RNA, 319 nt
Filed under: uncultured Legionella sp.
Lineage: Bacteria; Pseudomonadati; Pseudomonadota; Gammaproteobacteria; Legionellales; Legionellaceae
Description: bacterial SSU rRNA
Rfam family: Bacterial small subunit ribosomal RNA
Source: RNAcentral